UACGGAGGAGGCAAGCGUUAAUCGGAAUUACUGGGCGUAAAGCGUGCGCAGGCGGUUAUGUAAGACAGGGGUGAAAUCCCCGGGCUUAACCUGGGAACUGCAUUUGUGACUGCAUAGCUAGAGUACGGCAGAGGGGGAUGGAAUUCCGCGUGUAGCAGUGAAAUGCGUAGAUAUGCGGAGGAACACCGAUGGCGAAGGCAAUCCCCUGGGCCUGUACUGACGCUCAUGCACGAAAGCGUGGGGAGCAAACAGG
Molecule: ribosomal RNA, 253 nt
Filed under: uncultured bacterium
Lineage: Bacteria
Description: partial 16S ribosomal RNA
Rfam family: Bacterial small subunit ribosomal RNA
Source: RNAcentral